Molecule: long non-coding RNA, 834 nt
Organism: Mytilus californianus (California mussel)
Lineage: Eukaryota; Metazoa; Mollusca; Bivalvia; Mytilida; Mytilidae
Exons: 2
Source: RefSeq, a predicted model, not a curated record
UUUAUAAAUGUCUCGCACAAUGACGAUUUCAUUAAAGAGGUGAUAGAGAAGUGCAGUUUUGAUAAUAUCAAAAAGCACAAGUAUGAUUCCACAAGAAUAAUUGAUCCCAGACAUGAUUCGACAGUAUUCCGAAAAGGUGUUAUAGGCGACUGGAAGAACUGGUUUACUGUAGCACAAAAUGAACAGUUUGAUGAAAUAUACAGAGAGGAAAUGAAGAACUGUGAUGUUGACUUUAUCUAUGAACAAUAAUCAUGAAAUUGAUUAUCAUUUUUUUUUGCUGUUUAUUUUACCGUAUUGUUGCCGUAACUGGAUGGUUUGCAAUAACUAUCACAGUUAUAAUCAAAACAUGUAUUUCUAACAACUGUCAAUAUCAUGAGUAUAGAUCCACUGUAUCAUUGGUCAGUAUACAAAACGGUCCAAGGGUUUGUUUGGAUAUAGAAUAUAGCUGUCACUGGAUUUUCUCCUUUUCCGGAAGUAACACCAUUCAGUUGUUAAUUUGGAAGUCAGUUUAGUUCUAUGGGAUGUAUACAGUCGUAGAUACAAAGUCAUAUACGUCUAUAAAUAAUAACAAAACGUAUGCGUUUAAAGAUUAAGCCAGAAUUAACUACGCCUUAAGCUAUUUUUAGUAAGGGUGAUUUUACAAUUGGAUAUAACCCUUAACUUACCUUACAAACAGAGAAAUUACAUAAACAUAUUUAAGGUAGGAUUGCUGUAGGCAGUACUCUAAAUUUAUUUAUUGUCUGCCUUUAUUUUAAGUUUUGUCAAGUUCGAAAUGCAUUCAAGAAAAUAGUAAGUCUUUUUCUGUUUUGAUAUAUGAAAUUUAACAUGAUAAUU